Molecule: ribosomal RNA, 621 nt
Filed under: Rhodotorula glutinis
Lineage: Eukaryota; Fungi; Basidiomycota; Microbotryomycetes; Sporidiobolales; Sporidiobolaceae
Description: partial large subunit ribosomal RNA
Rfam family: Eukaryotic large subunit ribosomal RNA
Source: RNAcentral
UUUUCAUAUUCCAAAUAGCGGAGGAAAAGAAACUAACAAGGAUUCCCCUAGUAGCGGCGAGCGAAGCGGGAAGAGCUCAAAUUUAUAAUCUGGCACCUUCGGUGUCCGAGUUGUAAUCUCUAGAAGUGUUUUCCGCGUUGGACCGCACACAAGUCUGUUGGAAUACAGCGGCAUAGUGGUGAAACCCCCGUAUAUGGUGCGGACGCCCAGCGCUUUGUGAUACACUUUCAAUGAGUCGAGUUGUUUGGGAAUGCAGCUCAAAUUGGGUGGUAAAUUCCAUCUAAAGCUAAAUAUUGGCGAGAGACCGAUAGCGAACAAGUACCGUGAGGGAAAGAUGAAAAGCACUUUGGAAAGAGAGUUAACAGUACGUGAAAUUGUUGGAAGGGAAACGCUUGAAGUCAGACUUGCUUGCCGGAGCUUGCUUCGGUUUGCAGGCCAGCAUCAGUUUUCCGGGGUGGAUAAUGACGGUUUGAAGGUAGCAGUCUCGGCUGUGUUAUAGCUUUCCGUUGGAUACAUCCUGGGGGACUGAGGAACGCAGCGUGCUUUUUGCGAAAGACUCGUCUUUUUCACGCUUAGGAUGCUGGUGGAAUGGCUUUAAACGACCCGUCUUAAACCCCCGGA